Long non-coding RNA from Pelmatolapia mariae (spotted tilapia), 258 nucleotides. RefSeq lists it as uncharacterized. Lineage: Eukaryota; Metazoa; Chordata; Actinopteri; Cichliformes; Cichlidae. The transcript is spliced from 3 exons. The record is from RefSeq and is a predicted model, not a curated record.
GCUGUUUUCAAAGUAGCUGAGCAGAUUUCAUCUCAACAGACAAAGCCGAUGGCAGAAGAUGUUUGGAGAAGAACUUCAGGCCGUGUACUGACAAGAUCAAAGCAGCUCGUGCUCUUUCUGCUUCCAUUUUGAUGGCAAGAAGAAGAAGAAGAUUUCAGCGAAGUGGCGUUCAUGGUCUCAGUGGACAGUCAUGGUCACACACUGCAUGUGGUUUUAAAAGCAACAUGUCUGUUCACCACAACAAUCGAGAUGUGUAAU